CGACGAAUCUUCCGCAAUGGGCGAAAGCCUGACGGAGCGAUGCCGCGUGUGGGAUGAAGCGGCUUUGCCGUGUAAACCACUGUCAGGGAAUAGAAAUCAUGAUCAUUUCCAAAGGAAGGGGCGACUAACUCUGUGCCAGCAGUCGCGGUAAGACAGAGGCCCCGAGCGUUAGUCGGAAUCACUGGGCUUAAAGGGUGCGUAGGCGGACUCAUAAGUGUCGUGUGAAAGCCCAUGGCUUAACCAUGGAACCGCACGGCAAACUGUGAGUCUUGAGGUAGGUAGAGGCGGGUGGAACGAAUGGUGGAGCGGUGGAAUGCGUAGAUAUCAUUCGGAACGCCAAAGGUGAAGACAGCCCGCUGGGCCUUACCUGACGCUGAGGCACGAAAGCGUGGGGAGCAAA
This 400-nucleotide ribosomal RNA is filed under the name uncultured bacterium. RNAcentral's name for it is "bacterial SSU rRNA". It matches the Rfam family "Bacterial small subunit ribosomal RNA", at positions 355 to 772 of the family's 1533-position model. The record is from RNAcentral.